Long non-coding RNA from Dermacentor albipictus, 1779 nucleotides. RefSeq lists it as uncharacterized. Lineage: Eukaryota; Metazoa; Arthropoda; Arachnida; Ixodida; Ixodidae. The record is from RefSeq and is a predicted model, not a curated record.
AUCGCUUCCGCGCCUGGAACCUUCGCAGCCUGCGCGGAUGAGCCAUUGGGAUAUGGGAAUGACUGGGACUCGUUGCACCCGGUACAAUGAACAUCGAUAGCGUCAAGUAUAAAGGAACCGCCACCGCACAAUUUUAUCAGUGGGCAGGUCUGCUGGCCUUUCGUCAGCAGCACGCCAAUAACGUUGCUGUUUUUUGUGCAGCUUCUUCUGUUCGGUGCGGCAGCGAAGGCCAGCGUUUUGCAUCACACAUCGUGCUUCAUCGCUCCCGUGCGUGGUUCCUACGGAGCCUGCACGGAGAAGCCACUGAUAUAUGGGUAUGACUAGGACUCGUUGCGCCCGGUCCGAUCAACAUCGACAGCAUCAAGUAUAAAGGAACCGCCACCGGACAAUUUCUUCAUUGGGCAGGUCAGUUGGCGUCCAGUCAGCACCAUGGGGAAACCAAUUCUGUCUUUUCGGCUGCUUCUUCGGUUCGGCAUGUCAGCGAAAGCCAGCGUUUUGCAUCAAACACCGUGCUUCAUCGCUUCCACGCCUGGUUCCUACGGAGCCUGUGCGGAUAAGGCACUGCGAAAUGUGAAUGAAUGGGACCCGUUGCACUCUGUACAAUCAACAUCGACAGCGACAAGCAUUAAGAAACCUUCACCGGAUAAUUUCUUCAGUGGGAACGUCAGCUGGCGUCAGGUCAGCAGCAUGCCGAAACAAUUUCUUGUUUCUGCAGCUUCAGCUGUUCGGCGUGGCAGCAAUGGCCUGCGUUUCGCAUGAAUCAGCGUUCUUCAUCGCACCGUGCCUAGUUCCUACGGAGCAUGCGCGGAUAAGCCACUGCGAUAUGAGAAUGACUGGGACUCGUUGCGCCCGGUACGAUAAACAUCGACAGCGUCAAGUAUAAAAGAACCGCCACCGGACAAUUUCUUCGGUGGCACGUCAGUUGCCUCGCGUGAGCAGAAUGCCGAAACCAUUUCUGUUUUUUCUGAAGCUUCAGCUCUUCGGCGUGGCACCGAUGGCCAGCAUUUUGCAUCAAACACCAUGCUUCAUCGUUUCCGUGCCUGGUUCCUACGGAGCCUGCGCGCAGACGCCACUGCGAUAUGGCAGUGACUGGGACUCGUUGCGCCUGCAUCUACUGUUCGCUGCGACAGCGAAGGCCAGAGUUUUGUAUCACAAACCGUGCUUCAUCGCUCCCGUGCCUGGUUCCUACGGAGCCUGCGCGGAGAAGCCACUGCCAUAUGGUUAUGACUGGGACUCGUUGCGCCCGGUCCGAUACACAUCGACAGCCUCAAGUAUAAGGGCAGCGCCACCGGACAUUUUCUUCAGUGGGCACGUACGGUGGCGUCCAGUCAGCAGCAUGCCGAAAAUAAUAUUUUUUUUGUGCAGCUUCUUCUGAUCGGUGCGGCCGCGAACGCCAGCGUUUUUCAUCAAACUCUGUGGUUCAUCGCUCCCGUGCCGGGUUCCUGCGGAGCCACCGUGGAUAAGCCGCUGCGAUGUGGGAAUGACUGGGACUCGUGUCGGCAUGUACAAUAAACAUCGACAGCGUCAAGUAUAGAGGAUCCGCAACCGGACGAUUUUAUCAGUGCGCACGUCAGCUGGCCUCCCGUCAGCAGCAUGACGAAAUUAUUUCUUUAUUUGUUCAGCUUCUUCUGUUCGGCGUGGCAGCGAAGACCAGUGUUUUGCAUCAAACACUGAGCUUCAUGGCGUCCGUGCCAGGUUCCUACGGAUCCUGACCGGAUAAGCCCUUGCAAUAUGGGAAUAACUGGGACUCGUUCCAACCGGUACGAUCAACAUCGACAG